GCCAGGUGUGGUGGCUCACACCUGUAAUCCCAGCACUUUGGGAGGCUGAGGCGGGUGGAUCACUUGAGGUCAGGAGUUCGAGACCAGCCUGGCCAACAUGGUGAAACCCCGUCUCUA
Molecule: unclassified non-coding RNA, 117 nt
Organism: Macaca fascicularis (crab-eating macaque)
Lineage: Eukaryota; Metazoa; Chordata; Mammalia; Primates; Cercopithecidae
Rfam family: Metazoan signal recognition particle RNA
About the family: The signal recognition particle (SRP) is a universally conserved ribonucleoprotein. It is involved in the co-translational targeting of proteins to membranes.
Source: Ensembl